Mangifera indica (mango) is the source of this 3376-nucleotide RNA transcript. RefSeq lists it as uncharacterized. Lineage: Eukaryota; Viridiplantae; Streptophyta; Magnoliopsida; Sapindales; Anacardiaceae. The record is from RefSeq and is a predicted model, not a curated record. The transcript is spliced from 6 exons.
CUCGGCUUUUAGACGCUUCCUACGCUUGUUAAUUUACAGUUCUUUUCUCACACCAUAUAAACACUUCCCCUUUCUGUCCACACACAACUUCCCCACUUCAAUUCCUCUCUCUUUUCAUCUCAAAGAUUUAACCUUUUAAGUCUUCCUCUUACGGGUGAGUUGUGAUGAAGCUCUGAUGGGAGGUAACUUCUGUGUAAAGUAAAUUUGUAUCAUGUCUGAUAAUGUUAUUCAAUCAAAUAAUGAUGAUGAUGGAAUGCAUAGAUCAUCUAUGCAUCUUUACCAAUCUGUUUGGAUGGCUCACUGGACACAGACAAGUUGUAAGUCUGAAACCCGGGAUGAUAAACCAUUAUCAUUUCAUUGUAUGUCCAAAAAAGAGGACUGUGAUUUUAAGCAACAAGGAUCCGAGAUACCAUCUCACAUUUCUAAACAUGCUGAAGGAUUUGAAGUUUCUGAAUCUAGGACAGCUAAUAUCAUGGAUGAAAAUAUUAAACUGGGUUCAAUGAAAAGUGGAAAAGAAAUGUCAGAAGGCCUGUUCUUUCCAAAGUUAAGUCUUUCCGAUAAGGAGAGUACUAUCGAAUUGAAUGUCACAACCUGUCAAGGGGGAGUUCCUAAAAUGGGAACUUCAUCUGGAGAAUGUCAUUUCCAGCAUGAAGGUAUCUUAGGGGAUCUGGAGCUGCAGGUGAAAUCUCAUGAAUCUCCUGUGAGGAAAAGCUUAGCUGUUUCAAAAUCUUUUAAGCAAAAUGCGGGCUCUAGCUCUAAUUUUGUCCUGUAUAGAUACAACAGCAGGAAGUCUCCAAUUCAAUCCAUCAUAAGCAGAGAAGAAGAGAUGAAUCAAUCAAGCCCAGCUGUUGCAUCUCAAGAGCACCUCAGAAAUUCAAAAUUUCAAAGCUAUUCUACAUCUUUGGUUCAUGAUAAGACAGCAAAUAACCCAUUAGGUUUCAGAAGAUCCGGGACAUCAUCCUCGAGGCAAAAUAAUGUGCAUCUUUUACUGAAUGAACCCUCAGCAAGCAAUGAUCAGCUACCCGUUUUUAUUGGUAAACAGAGAGGAAAAACGCACAAUCAUUCUGGUACUAGAUUGUUUCCGAACUGGGGUAAUCCACUAGACGCAACCAAAAUGGGAACUUCAUUUUAUGAUUUUUUCUCAGUACCAAGAAUUCUGCAGUCGCUUCAUGAUGUGGAGUCGAUGAGGAUAUGCAACACUGAAGGGCAUCCCAAGCUUUCUCAGACAACGCACCAUUUUCUUAUCACUAAGAAAACUGAUGUUGACUUGUCAGAAGGUGGUGAAACGUUUAAAGAAAAAAUGUUAAGCAAAUUCCUCAGUCUAUCUCCCGAUUUUGGUUUUCAUGAGCAGCAGGGAGUGAAACUCCAAUCUCUAGGGAGCACCACUGAUAGUGAGGAAAAAGAAAAUAUUGGAGAUAACAAGACUUCUGCAGUUUGUUUAAAGAAUGAGUCAUUAGCUGACACUGAUACUAUGGACAUGGAUGUUUUCCGGAAGAACCAUUUUUCUGGAGAUAAAUUCAUGGUUUCUUCGCCAACAAAUGAGGUUGCCAGAGUGGACGAAGUAGCAAGAUCACAAGCUGUCGUUGCUUCAACUAGAGAAGAAACUGGAGGAAGAUUACCCAACAUUGAGUUACCUGAUAUAAACCAAGAGCUUCCUGCACUUCCAUCUGUUGCUGACUCUGUGGAUGAUAGGGAGACAAGUUCCUCAAGAACCCAGAGUUUAGAUGUUGAGCAUCUCCCUUCACAUGUUGAGCUACCCACAAAUUCCAAAUCUGGUGCCUUUCCAGACGGUCGUAUGGGAUCAGAUCCAAGCAUCAGAUGGGUUAAACGUCUGAAGUUGAGUGCCCCGGGUUCUUUUGCUCAUGGAACUAAGAGUUCUGAAACAGAAGAAGCUUCUUCCCAUGAGAAAGUUAACAAGUUUGUCAAUGAAAUCACGAGAUGCAACAUUACUAAUUCUGAACCCACUAUUGGCAGAUGCUCUGAUAAAGAACCGAUGGCACUGGACCAGACUGCUGGCUUUUUAAAGAAUGGAGACUCUUCUUUCAGCAAAACACAGAGGAAGCCUCAAGACAUAACUCUUUCGAAUUCUUGGAUUCGGAGAUGGUGUCAUGAGAGAUCUGCAUCUCGAACAGAGAACCGUGAUGAAGUGACACUUUGUGAGCCACGAAGUUCAAAAUCAACAUUAGAUGAACUUCAAAAGAAGCAGUUUCCAAGCAUAGGUGCUAUGGCUCUGAUGGGGAAGGUUCUGAACACUUUUCAACAAUGUGAAUUUAGGAAAAAGGGUUCAUAUAUUGUUUGGAAAACUUGGGGAUGCUGAGAUGAUUCUACACAGAUUAUGAAGGGAACAGACAGCAAGCUAAGCAAUCCACAGGUCUUUAUGGCUACCUUGGUAUUCAAUUUGCUUUUGAAAGGCGAGGCUCGCCUUUCAGUAAAAAAAGAAAUCAGUGGACAGAAUGUGGAAAUUUCUUUAGCUAUAAUGUUCCCUCGUGAUGAAGAAGCGCUAAGUUACAAUCAGUAAACAUGGCAUAAAUCAGCUCUUCAUAAGGGCAAACCUAUUACGCAUGAACACGGUUAUACUAAUAUUUUUUAACAAAUCAAAGAUUACCUACUAUGGUUCCAUUUCUGACUUGGCGUCUAGUCUGCUUUAAAGCAGCUUCAAAGAAACUGCUUCCAUGUAAACUUGACUCUCUGCAGGGUGGAGCAAAUUGAAUGAUUAUAUCCCUUAACGGGAUAAAACCAGUUGCCCGAUGUGAAUCAUUUAUUAAAAAGUAGAAAUUGCUCUUUGUAUCAGCUAGCUCCUUCAUGGCUUGCUUGAGGGUGUCAAUUUUCUUAUUAGUCACUGGUCCAUUCUUGGAAGAAAACUGUUCUAUAGGCAGAGAAACCCUUGGUGGGAUAAGGUCUCCAAUUUCUCAUUCAAUGAUCGCACAUAAUCUGCUCGACCAGUCUCCACUUAGUUGAAAGUCCUGUAAAUAUGCGAGAUAAUCUAUUUGUUCUUUGCUCUUGGUCAAAUGUUUAAUCUAGAUGGAAAUAGCCUUGCUCUCUAUUAGGGAUCAGAUCAUCAUUCUCCAGAAGAAGAUAGAAGUCACUUCUUCUGAUAGUACCAAUCAGUCUCUUGGUUCCAAUAUUAACAGCCGCAAUUUCUCCUACUUGGUUCUCGCAUAACAUCCGAAGACCUUUGGAUAUGCUUUGGUCUCCAUAUACUCCAACAAGAUGAUCCCCAUUCUCCAGCUGAAAGAGGAGAAAAUCAAUGCAUGUCUGCAAUUCUAUCAAACGAUUCCUAGUCCAGUUGAUUGAAGCGGCCACUGCAUUACUACAUUCUCUAUUGUACCAGUUACACUGUGAUUUAAGAUUAUUUAGAUUUCUCAUUUUACCAACA